This 516-nucleotide ribosomal RNA is filed under the name Triticum aestivum (bread wheat). RNAcentral describes it as "partial small subunit ribosomal RNA". Lineage: Eukaryota; Viridiplantae; Streptophyta; Magnoliopsida; Poales; Poaceae. The record is from RNAcentral.
UUAGAAUACUUGAAGAAUAAGCAGAGGGAGGAUCCAACAUUUUUUUAUGCGAUUCAAGUAGAUGAGAAGGAUGGUCAGAUAACUAAAUUUUUUUGGGCAGAUGGCCAGUCCAUUAUGGAUUACGCAUGCUUUGGUGAUGCUGUAUCAUUUGACACCACGUUUGAUACCAAUAAGUUUGAAUUGCCUUUCGCUCCAAUCCUUGGUGCCAAUCAUCACAAGCAGACAGUAAUAUUUGGGGCUGCACUGAUAUUUAAUGAGUCCAUCGAUUCAUUUGUUUGGCUAUUUGAGACAUUUCUCACGGCAAUGUCAGGCAAGCAUCCAAGCACAAUUUUCACCUAUCAAGACAGGGCCAUGGACGGAGCAAUUGCUUAUGUAUUUCCAAAUACAAGUCAUCGUCUUUGCUUGUGGCACAUCUAUCUUAAUGCUGCUAAACAUCUCGGGCAUGUAAUUCAUAAGCAUCCUGAGAAGUUUCUACCGGAUUUUAAGAGAUGUGUCUAUGAAGACAGGUCUGAAUGA